Molecule: ribosomal RNA, 467 nt
Filed under: uncultured bacterium
Lineage: Bacteria
Description: partial 16S ribosomal RNA
Rfam family: Bacterial small subunit ribosomal RNA
Source: RNAcentral
ACGAACGCUGGCGGCGUGCUUAACACAUGCAAGUCGAACGGUGAAGCGAGUGCUUGCACUCGUGGAUCAGUGGCGAACGGGUGAGUAACACGUGAGUAACCUGCCCAUCACUCUGGGAUAAGCACUGGAAACGGUGUCUAAUACUGGAUACGACCAACCCUUGCAUGGGGUGUUGGUGGAAAGAUUUAUCGGUGAUGGAUGGACUCGCGGCCUAUCAGCUUGUUGGCGGGGUAAUGGCCCACCAAGGCGACGACGGGUAGCCGGCCUGAGAGGGUGACCGGCCACACGGGGACUAGGACACGGCCAAGACUCCGCCGGGGGGCAGCAGGGGGGAAUAUUGCACAAGGGGGGAAAGCCUGAUGCAGGGACCCCGGGGGGGGGAAGGCGGCCUUGGGGUUUAAACCCCUUUUCCGGGGGGAAGAAGGGAAAGGGACGGUACCGGCAAAAGAAGCACCGGCUAACUACGU